RNAcentral lists this ribosomal RNA (919 nucleotides) under uncultured bacterium. RNAcentral describes it as "bacterial SSU rRNA". It matches the Rfam family "Bacterial small subunit ribosomal RNA", at positions 8 to 916 of the family's 1533-position model. The record is from RNAcentral.
AGAGUUUGAUCAUGGCUCAGGGCUAACGCUGGCGGCGUGUCUUAGCCAUGCAAGUCGAGCGGUCCUAUGGGGCGACCUAUAGGAUAGCGGCGGACGGCGGAGUAACACGUAGCUAACCUACCCUCCGGACGGGGAUAACCAUUCGAAAGGGUGGCUAAUACCCGAUGGAGUCAUCCGCAAGGGUGAUGAAAGGUGGGCCUCUGUUUACAAGCUCAUGCCGGGGGAGGGGGCUGCGGCCUAUCAGGUAGUUGGUGGGGUAAAGGCCCACCAAGCCUAUGACGGGUAGCCGGCCUGAGAGGGUGACCGGCCCGAGGGACACUGAGACACGGGUCCCACUCCUACGGGAGGCAGCAGGCUAGAAAUUUGGGCAAUGGGGGAAACCCUGACCCAGUGACGCCGCGUGCAGGAAGGAGCCCUUCGGGGUGUAAACUGCUGUCGUGCGGGGCGAAGGGUUUAUAGGCGAAUAGUCUAUAGACUUGACGGUACCGCAGGAGGAAGCCCAGGCUAACCUCGUGCCAGCAGCCGCGGUAAUACGGGGUGGGCGAGCGUUGCCCGGAAUUACUGGGUUUAAAGGGGGUGUAGGCGGUCUGGAUAGUCAGGUGUGUAAUCCAAUCGCUCAACGAUUGGACUGCAUCUGAUACUUUCAGGCUAGAGGGCGGUAGAGGAGAGCGGAACUCCCGGUGUAGCGGUGAAAUGCGUAGAUAUCGGGAGGAACGCCGGUGGCGAAGGCGGCUCUCUGGGCCGUUCCUGACGCUGAGGCCCGAAAGCUGGGGGAGCGAAAGGGAUUAGAUACCCCUGUAGUCCCAGCCGUAAACGAUGGGCACUAGGUGUGCCUCUAUAUAGGGGUGUGCCGACGGGAAACCAUUAAGUGCCCCACCUGGGGAGUACGCCCGCAGGGUGAAACUCAAUGAAUUGACGG